UCAAACCUAAGAGUUUGAUCCUGGCUCAGAAUGAACGCUGGCGGCAUGCCUAACACAUGCAAGUCGAACGAGAUUUUCGGAUCUAGUGGCGCACGGGUGAGUAACGCGUGGGAACCUACCUUUUAGUACGGGACAACGUUUGGAAACGAACGCUAAUACCGUAUACGCCCUCCGGGGGAAAGGUCAGCCGCUGAAAGAGGGGCCCGCGUCUGAUUAGCUUGUUGGUAAGGUAACGGCUUACCAAGGCAACGAUCAGUAGCUGGUAUGAGAGGAUGAUCAGCCACACUGGGACUGAGACACGGCCCAGACUCCUACGGGAGGCAGCAGUGGGGAAUAUUGGACAAUGGGCGCAAGCCUGAUCCAGCAAUGCCGCGUGUGUGAAGAAGGCCUUCGGGUUGUAAAGCACUUUCAGUAGGGAAGAUAAUGACGGUACCUACAGAAGAAGCACCGGCUAACUCCGUGCCAGCAGCCGCGGUAAUACGGAGG
Molecule: ribosomal RNA, 486 nt
Filed under: Alphaproteobacteria bacterium TMED199
Lineage: Bacteria; Pseudomonadati; Pseudomonadota; Alphaproteobacteria
Description: bacterial SSU rRNA
Rfam family: Bacterial small subunit ribosomal RNA
Source: RNAcentral